UAUAAAACGUACGUUAUAUAUCUACACAAGUUUUGAAUAUUAAGUUUAAACAUACAAGAUUUAAAGAAAAAACAUGCCGGCCUUCUAAAGAUUAACCAAAAAUCGGCGGUGACAAGUGGACGUCAUGAUUGGAGAACGGCUGGCUGGCUUCGAUGAGAGAAGUCGUUCAAGGAUUUAUGAUGGUUCAGGUUCAGGUUAUCGAACCCGGAUCCUUUGACGUAUGACGCAGGGGAAGAGGCCGAUAUUUUUCGCAGAGACACCUUUUUCCCGUACUCUUUUCUCUCCCUUGCGCUCGUCGCGUGGAAAAGUACGUGAGCGCUAUUCCCGGUAAUGAUGGCAUUAGCGAAGUCGAACGGUGAUUCCUCUUCGUGGGAGUCCGGACCGAUUCAAGCAAACAUUGACUCUGUCCCACGGGAUAAACACUCCCUCCCUCUCUUCCUUCUUCCUGAGAUGUUCUUGUCUUUUGAAGUAAGGAGAGAAGAAGGAGAACACCAAGGCGAAUAGGACGUGAAAGAGGUAGCCGGACCUUUAUCGCGUGCGCGAGCUCCUCUCGUAUAAAGUAAAUUUUAUCCUUUCGGAAUCCAUCGUCUCCAAAGAGGGUGCUGCUAAUCUUCCUUUUAAGGUCGGGAAAAUCUCGCAUAACCUUUUCCUUUUUAUCUCGCGUCUCUCAGAAGAAGUUAUUAUAAUUAGGUAAAGACACGAAGGCACGUCGCAUUUACGUACCUCGGAAGUAAAUUUUUUUAACGAUCGCAAUUACGAGCGUCCCGCUAGUCAUGAAGAGAACCAGCCGGACAUCUUCCGUUGGGGGAUGGCAAAAAAAGCAAGUAAGAAGAAAAAAAACGGGGAAAGCAGCGAUGCUCGUUUUAAGACCGGCGGCGUGCGUCUCGAGAGUCGAAUGCCUGAGAAGAGAAAAAUUUAAUUUCGCCAUUCGCGGCGCCUGGAUGUCUGAUGACAAUUACACGGCCGCUGCGCUUCCUCUUUAGCCCGACGAUACGAAGAAGAACGGGAGAGAGAAAAAAA
Molecule: long non-coding RNA, 1020 nt
Organism: Pseudomyrmex gracilis
Lineage: Eukaryota; Metazoa; Arthropoda; Insecta; Hymenoptera; Formicidae
Exons: 3
Source: RefSeq, a predicted model, not a curated record